Molecule: long non-coding RNA, 3563 nt
Filed under: Triticum aestivum (bread wheat)
Lineage: Eukaryota; Viridiplantae; Streptophyta; Magnoliopsida; Poales; Poaceae
Description: long non-coding RNA (TAES_LNC018528)
Source: RNAcentral
AAAAGAAAAAACAGUGCAUAGUAGAGAAGGUAAAAUCGAAUAUUUGUAGCGUAGCAAAAGAGGGCUCAGUUUUGCCUUUCAUCUUCAAGCCCAACACUCGCAUCUCUUGCUGCAUAAUCUACCCAUCACGAUGUAAAAGAACUGCCCUGGUUAUCAUUCAUCAGAAUGACCGUCCAAGUAGCAGAACAUCCAACAUUAGCGAUGAAUUGAACAGGCUGCAAGAGAGGUAAGGGUGUGCUCUAAUUUAGUACCCAUAGGCCACAGCUCUUAAUUGCUCAAGACAGGCUUAUUUCAGCCACGGUCAUCAUCAUUGCCCCUGGUAAGGACUCCAUCUCUUCAUCACACAGUAGCAUGCAUACAUCAUCCAUCCAUCCAUCCAUCAGGCUGGUCGUAGUGGUAAGUAACUUGUCGCAUCCAUGAUAUCCAUUACAGGCAUGCACACAUCCAUCCAUCCAUCCUCUUUAAUUACUUGUCACAUGAUCUUUUUUGCCUAUGUGGCAUGCAUGUUACUACUCCCUCCGUUCCAUAAUUACUGUUGUGGUUUUAGUUCAAAUAGUUCAAUUUGAACUAAAACCUAAGUUACUCCCACUAUGACUAGUCUCAGUCUCAGGAGCUGCUCGUACCUGGCCUCGACCGCCCAGUGUGGACGACGCAUCAGAUAAUGCCUUACGGUUCCCAGCCCACACCACAACCAAAUCCAAGGCAAUGAAAUGGCAGUGGCUGGCAGCACCGUAGAGACGGGGAACUGACGUGGCAGCCACCCGGACAAUGGGGUAGCAAGUCGGCAAUGAGAGCUUUGCUGAUUUGUUUAGGGCUUGAGAGAGAGAGAGAGAGAGAGAGAGAAAGGUGAGGAGGAUUCAUACCGAAUCCAAAACAAAAUGCAACUGAACUGAGCAAAAGAGGGCUCAGUUUUGCAUUUCAUCUUCAAACCAACACUCACACCUCUUGCUGCAUAAUCUAUCCAUCGCAGUGUAAGAGAACUGCCCUGGUUAUCACUCAUCAGAACGACCAUCCAAGGCACAGAACAUCCAACAUCCGCGAUGAAUUGGACAGGCUGCAAGAGAGGCAAGGGUGGGCUAAAGAGUAACUCCAACGCAGAUACCAAUUUUCUUGCACUGUUUAGUCCCACCUCGCCAAGGCUGUCUUGAUUGCUCAAGACAUGAUUAUUUCAGCCACAGUCAUCAUCAUCGGCAUCGCCCCUAGCAACAUAACCAUGAAUCCAUACAUAUAUGCAUGCAUACAUCCAUCUAUCCAUCCAUCCUGCUCAGGAGUUGCUCAUACCUGGCCUCGACCGACCAAAACUCCGGCUCCGACGACGCAUCAGAAGACACCGUACGGUUCCCAGCCGACGGGCACAACCAAAUCCAAGGCAAUGGGACGGCGGUGGCAGGCAGCACCGUAGCGGUGGGGAACUGAACUGACGCGGCGUACAUCCGGACGAUAGGUCAGUCAGCGAUCCGGCAACAAGAGCUCGCCUGAUUUGUUUUAAAAAUAUACUCCCUCCGUUCGGAUCAAGUGUCGUGGUUUUAGUUCACGACACAUGAAUGCAUCCAUUCAUCCAUCCUUCUCAGGAGCUGCUCAUACCUGGCCUCGACCGACCAAACCUCCCGCACGGACGACGCAUCAGACGUCAUCCUACGGCCCCCAGCCCACGCCACAACCGAAUCCAAGCCAAUGGAAUGGCGGUGGCUGGCCGCACCGUAGCAGCGCUGGGUCAGCGAUCCGGCAACGAGAGCUUGGCUGAUUCGGUUUAGGAUUUACUGGUGUGAACUCUAAGCGCGCGCGCGCACAGAGUGAGCGAGUGUGUGAGAGUCUGAGAGAGAGAGAGAGAGAGAUGGGGGGACCGUACCGGAUCCAAAGCAAAACGCAGCCAAGCUGCGAGAAAUCCAUCGACGGCGGCUCAGAUCCCGCGCCGGCCCGACCAAGCCCUCGACCGCAGCGCGCCAUGGGCCCCGCCGCUCGGUCCCCAGCCCGCACGGCCGCAGACGCCUCCCGCAUCCAUCCAUCCUCUUUAAUUACUUGCCAGUCAUUUUUGCCUAUGUGUCAUGAAUGUUACUACUCCCUCUGUUCCAUAAUUCAGUUACUCCCACUAUGACUAGUCUCAGUCUCAGGAGCUGCCCAUACCUGGCCUCGACCGACCAAACAUCCUGGUGUGGACGACUCAUCAGACAACGCCUUACGGGACCCAGCCCACGCCACAACCAAAUCCAAGGCAAUGGAAUGGCAGUGGCUGGCAGCACCGUAGAGACAGGGAACUGACGUGGCAACCACCGGGACGAUGGGUCAGCGAGUCGGCAAUGAGAGCUUGACUGAUUUGUUUUAGGGGUUGAGAGAGAGAGAGGUGAGGAGGAUUCAUACCGAAUCCAAGACAAAAUGCAACUGAACCGAGCAUAUGUAGCGUAGCAAAACAAGGCUCAGUUUUGCAUUUCAUCUUCAAACCCAACACUCACAUCUCUUGCUGCAUAAUCCACCCAUUGCCAUGUAAGAGAACUGCCCUGGUUAUCACUCAUCAGAAUGACCAUCCAAGGCAAAGAACAUCCAACAUUGGCAAUGAAUUUGACAGGCUGCAAGAGAGGCAAGGGUGGGCUCUAAGGCCAACUCCUUUUUUCUGGCACUGUUUAGUCCCACCUCGCCGAGCUGUCUUGAUUGCUCAAGACAUGAUUAUUUCAACCAGUCAUCAUCAUCGGCAUCGCCCCUCCUUUUUUUCCAAAAAGGAGGUUGAACCCCCGAGCAACAUGACCAUGAUAUCCAUACAUAUAUGCAUGCAUACAUCCAUCUAUCCAUCCAUCCUGCUCAGGAGUUGCUCAUACCUGGCCUAGACCGACCAAAACUCCGGCUCCAACGACGCAUCAGACAACACCGUAAGGUUCCCAGCCCAUACGCACAACCGAAUCCAAGGCAAUUGGACGGCGGUGGUAGCGGUGGGGAACUGACGCGGCGGACAUCCGGAAAAUAGGUCAGCAAUCCGGCAACGAGAGCUCGCCUGAUUUGUUUUAAAAAUAUAAUCCGGCAACGACACAUGAAUGCAUCCAUUCAUCCAUCCUUGUCAGGAGCUGCUCAUACCUGGCCUCGACCGACCAAACCUCCCGCAUCAGACAUCAUCCUACGGCUCCCAGCCCACGCCACAACCGAAUCCAAGGCAAUGGAAUGGCGGUGGCUGGCGGCACCGUAGCAGCGCUGGGGAACUGAGGCGGCAACGAGAGCUCGGCUGAUUCGGUUUAGGAUUUACUGGUGUGAACUCUAGGCGCGCGCGCGCACAGAGUGAGCGAGUGUGUGUGAGAGUCUGAGAGAGAGAGAGAGAGAGAGAGAGAGAGAGAGAGAGUGAGAGAGAGAGGGAGAUGGGGGGACCGUACCGGAUCCAAAGCGAAACGCAGCCAAGCUGCGAGAAAUCCAUCGACGGCGGCUCAGAUCCCGCGCCGGCCAGACCAGGCCCUUGACCGGAGCACCGCUCGGUCCCCAGCCCGCACGGCCGCGGACGCCCCCCGCAUCGGCGGCAGCCCCGAGGGGCCUCCAAGCCGAUGCGCGACGGCGCGGCGAGGGGGGCUGGCCCCGAGGAGCGGCGG